RNAcentral lists this ribosomal RNA (253 nucleotides) under uncultured bacterium. RNAcentral's name for it is "partial 16S ribosomal RNA". It matches the Rfam family "Bacterial small subunit ribosomal RNA", at positions 524 to 776 of the family's 1533-position model. The record is from RNAcentral.
UACGAAGGUGUCUAGCGUUGUUCGGAAUCACUGGGCGUAAAGCGCGCGCAGGCGGACUACCAAGUCUGAGGUGAAAGCCCGAAGCUCAACUUCGGAAUUGCCUUGGAAACUGGUAGUCUAGAGUGCAAUAGGGGGUAGCGGAAUUCCAAAUGUAGAGGUGAAAUUCGUAGAUAUUUGGAGGAACACCGGUGGCGAAGGCGGCUACCUGGAUUGCAACUGACGCUGAGGCGCGAAAGCGUGGGGAUCAAACAGG